GCUAUGGUAUUCAAAUCUGGGUUUGAAUUUGCAACACCAGAGGGUAGAGUGGUUUCCCCAUUAACCUUCCUUGUAUCAUUGGUUGCUGAUCCAGUCAAAUUCUUUUCAUCUUGAGCUGGUGAACCUUUACCAGACUCAAAAGCAAAAGAGGAAAUAGUCCUUGAUGAAUGUGAGGAAAUAUGAUCAUCAACAUCAUCAUCAGUGAAUGAGGCAAUCUCACUUUCCUCAUCAUUCCCUUCAUUUGUCACUUCUGAAACAGAUUCACUUCCAUCCUUG
RNAcentral lists this unclassified non-coding RNA (276 nucleotides) under Hevea brasiliensis (rubber tree). Lineage: Eukaryota; Viridiplantae; Streptophyta; Magnoliopsida; Malpighiales; Euphorbiaceae. The record is from RNAcentral.